UGCAGUCGAGCGAAUGGAUUAAGAGCUUGCUCUUAUGAAGUUAGCGGCGGACGGGUGAGUAACACGUGGGUAACCUGCCCAUAAGACUGGGAUAACUCCGGGAAACCGGGGCUAAUACCGGAUAACAUUUUGAACCGCAUGGUUCGAAAUUGAAAGGCGGCUUCGGCUGUCACUUAUGGAUGGACCCGCGUCGCAUUAGCUAGUUGGUGAGGUAACGGCUCACCAAGGCAACGAUGCGUAGCCGACCUGAGAGGGUGAUCGGCCACACUGGGACUGAGACACGGCCCAGACUCCUACGGGAGGCAGCAGUAGGGAAUCUUCCGCAAUGGACGAAAGUCUGACGGAGCAACGCCGCGUGAGUGAUGAAGGCUUUCGGGUCGUAAAACUCUGUUGUUAGGGAAGAACAAGUGCUAGUUGAAUAAGCUGGCACCUUGACGGUACCUAACCAGAAAGCCACGGCUAACUACGUGCCAGCAGCCGCGGUAAUACGUAGGUGGCAAGCGUUAUCCGGAAUUAUUGGGCGUAAAGCGCGCGCAGGUGGUUUCUUAAGUCUGAUGUGAAAGCCCACGGCUCAACCGUGGAGGGUCAUUGGAAACUGGGAGACUUGAGUGCAGAAAAGGAAAGUGGAAUUCCAUGUGUAGCGGUGAAAUGCGUAGAGAUAUGGAGGAACACCAGUGGCGAAGGCGACUUUCUGGUCUGUAACUGACACUGAGGCGCGAAAGCGU
This 725-nucleotide ribosomal RNA is filed under the name Bacillus cereus. Its description in RNAcentral is "bacterial SSU rRNA". It matches the Rfam family "Bacterial small subunit ribosomal RNA", at positions 56 to 762 of the family's 1533-position model. Lineage: Bacteria; Bacillati; Bacillota; Bacilli; Caryophanales; Bacillaceae. The record is from RNAcentral.